UGAAAAGGAAGAAAAUGCUCAAACAAAAAUUUUCAACAAAGCUUGAACUACAUUUGUAGAAUGACAUUGGGUAACCAUGGCUUUGUUCGUGCUAUUCUUCUCAUGACAAUCACUAUGAAUUUGAUAUGGUUCUCUACAACUCAAGUUAUGGGUGUACGAGAGACUAGCCAUGAUCUCUUUGGACUCCAAAGGAGGCUACUCCCACAACGAAAUGAUAUAAUAACUUGUGGGAGUAUUUGCAAUAAUGACAGUGAUUGCAGUGGUUGCUGGCUUUGUUGUAACUGUAGACCAAACUACUUUGAACCAAACGUCUUUGGUGCUAAUACAUGUGCACGUUAUUAAUAGCAAUGGUGCCCCAUGGGACUACUGCAAAUCCAUGUUAUGAACUUACUAUAUAUUUAUGUUAUUCCCUGCACUUUUCUUGUUUCAUCGUCUUUAAAUAAAGUCAUGUGAUGACAUUCUAUUCAUGAAUAAUAAUAGACUCGACUCUGUAGCUAGUCGGGCUAGCUUUUAUGUACAAAGUUAUUGCAUAUGAAACCUAUUUGAAUUGUUUUCUCGUGUUGACUUUAUUUAAAA
This is a long non-coding RNA of Lycium ferocissimum, 576 nucleotides long. RefSeq lists it as uncharacterized. Lineage: Eukaryota; Viridiplantae; Streptophyta; Magnoliopsida; Solanales; Solanaceae. The transcript is spliced from 2 exons. The record is from RefSeq and is a predicted model, not a curated record.